AGAUUGAACGCUGGCGGCAGGCCUAACACAUGCAAGUCGAGCGGUAGAGAGGUGCUUGCACCUCUUGAGAGCGGCGGACGGGUGAGUAAUGCCUAGGAAUCUGCCUAGUGGUGGGGGAUAACGUUCGGAAACGGACGCUAAUACCGCAUACGUCCUACGGGAGAAAGCGGGGGACCUUCGGGCCUCGCGCCAUUAGAUGAGCCUAGGUCGGAUUAGCUAGUUGGUGAGGUAAUGGCUCACCAAGGCGACGAUCCGUAACUGGUCUGAGAGGAUGAUCAGUCACACUGGAACUGAGACACGGU
This 302-nucleotide ribosomal RNA is filed under the name uncultured soil bacterium. RNAcentral's name for it is "bacterial SSU rRNA". It matches the Rfam family "Bacterial small subunit ribosomal RNA", at positions 26 to 330 of the family's 1533-position model. The record is from RNAcentral.